This 363-nucleotide long non-coding RNA is filed under the name Hordeum vulgare. RNAcentral describes it as "long non-coding RNA (HVUL_LNC012681)". Lineage: Eukaryota; Viridiplantae; Streptophyta; Magnoliopsida; Poales; Poaceae. The record is from RNAcentral.
CUGUUGAAGCAUUCGGACAGGUGAUAUCCUGGCAGUAGAACCACGUCGACUGCCAGUUCCUGACCGACUCACAUAACUAGAGAGCAGGAUAACUGCUCCGACUCUUUUUCUGGAAACCUAGACCCCCGCAGAGCUGGAGAAGAUGUGUUUUAUCAUCCGACUGGCUAAGUUGUUUGAUGGUCUGGGAUCUAGUAGAAAAUAUGUGCUUGAACAGCCCCCAAUGGGGGGGACAGCCAAUGAAACACUCACACAAGACUAUAAAGGCAGAAAGGUGGGCGAUGGCAUUCGGAGGGAAAUGGUGAAGUUGGGCACCGAAGUGAUUCAUGAUGCCCUUGAAGAAAGGAUGCAGGGGUAAAGAAAAAC